RNAcentral lists this non-coding RNA (112 nucleotides) under Paraliobacillus sp. PM-2. RNAcentral's name for it is "TPP riboswitch aptamer (THI element)". It matches the Rfam family "TPP riboswitch aptamer (THI element)". From Rfam's summary of the family: Vitamin B(1) in its active form thiamin pyrophosphate (TPP) is an essential coenzyme that is synthesised by coupling of pyrimidine and thiazole moieties in bacteria. The previously detected thiamin-regulatory element, thi box was extended, resulting in a new, highly conserved RNA secondary structure, the THI element, which is widely distributed in eubacteria and also occurs in some archaea. Analysis of operon structures identified a large number of new candidate thiamin-regulated genes, mostly transporters, in various prokaryotic organisms. The record is from Rfam by way of RNAcentral. Lineage: Bacteria; Bacillati; Bacillota; Bacilli; Caryophanales; Bacillaceae. RNAcentral also lists the same sequence under 1 other name.
UUAAACCACUAGGGGAGUCUUUUACUAAAGACUGAGAUUGAAGUAUAUGACUUCAAGACCCUUAGAACCUGAUCUAGUUUAAACUAGCGUAGGGAAGUGGAAAUGGUUCUUU